This 186-nucleotide ribosomal RNA is filed under the name uncultured eukaryote. Its description in RNAcentral is "partial 18S ribosomal RNA". It matches the Rfam family "Eukaryotic small subunit ribosomal RNA", at positions 1299 to 1458 of the family's 1831-position model. The record is from RNAcentral.
UGGUGGAGUGAUUUGUCUGGUUAAUUCCGAUAACGAACGAGACUCUGUCCUGCUAACUAGGUUGUGUUUUCUCGGGUUGGUGUUUCUGGUGUUCCUUCUCGGGGCGCCGGCCCAAUCCAUUUGUGAACACAACACUCUUCUUAGAGGGACUGGCGGCUGUUAGCCGCACGAGAUAGAGCAAUAACA